This is a long non-coding RNA of Bufo bufo (common toad), 814 nucleotides long. RefSeq lists it as uncharacterized. NCBI's taxonomy places the organism in Eukaryota, Metazoa, Chordata, Amphibia, Anura, Bufonidae. The record is from RefSeq and is a predicted model, not a curated record. The transcript is spliced from 2 exons.
UCUGCAGCGCUGCUGAAAGGACCAGCCAUUUUCCUCCCAGGCAGCAGUGUGCUGUGUUAUGCCCUGCUAUAUCCUUUAUUUACAGGGCAUAAAUCACAUCUACUGAGGGCUUCAGGAGGACAGCAGGGCUUGCUGAUCAUCACUGCGGCUGAGAAUGCCUCCAAGUCCCUGCUUUGAUGAGCUGCUGACUGCUUGUACUAGGAGCUGAUUGCAGAAGAUGGAAUGCAGGCUGAUAAUGCUGCAUAUCCUUUAUCAGGCAGUGGAGUAGGGGUUUUUUGUCUUGUAAAGGCAAGGUUUCCCUGCAACGUUAUCUGAAGGGCUCAGUAUUAGCUGCUCACAGGGGAAGCUUAGUGACCCGAACAAAGGGUGUUGCCCUUUUUGUAAUCUGUGCUUUUUUUUUUUUUUUUUCUUAAUACAAGAAGACAGCAGUAGAGAAGAAGCAGGUGUAUCACUCAUCUAGGCUCUGAGCUCCAAUACACAGCCCCUGCACCGGCUCUGGUAUUACCUUACCCUUCCUGGACAGGUCCUUCCUGAACACUUUCACUGGGGGAUCAAGGUACACAUCGCUGCGAUCUCCAACUACCUGCAUAACAAGAAUUCUCUGAGAGCAGAUCACGGCAGCUUCUUGGAGAACUACAGUUCUACUGACAGCAUCCGCAGAUGAUUUUCUAAAGUACAUAGAGUUUCAUUGAAAGAUCUAAGUUGGGCUCAAUUCUGUUCAAUCAAGUGUGGCAAACGGAGCACAGGAUUCCUUCACAUCUGAUUAGAUAGGUUUGAAGCAAGCAGAUCUGACAAGCUGGACAGGGUGUUAAGG